UACGAGGGGGGCAAGCGUUGUUCGGAAUUAUUGGGCGUAAAGGGUGCGUAGGCGGUUUUGUAAGUCUUGUGUGAAAUCUUCAGGCUCAACUUGAAUACUGCACGAGAAACUGCAGGGCUUGAGUGUGGGAGAGGUGAGUGGAAUUCCUGGUGUAGCGGUGAAAUGCGUAGAUAUCAGGAGGAACACCGGUGGCGAAGGCGGGUCUCUGGGCAAUAACUGACGCUGAGGAGCGAAAGCGUGGGGAGCGAACAGG
RNAcentral lists this ribosomal RNA (253 nucleotides) under uncultured bacterium. RNAcentral's name for it is "partial 16S ribosomal RNA". It matches the Rfam family "Bacterial small subunit ribosomal RNA", at positions 524 to 776 of the family's 1533-position model. The record is from RNAcentral.